Molecule: long non-coding RNA, 424 nt
Organism: Oncorhynchus keta (chum salmon)
Lineage: Eukaryota; Metazoa; Chordata; Actinopteri; Salmoniformes; Salmonidae
Exons: 4
Source: RefSeq, a predicted model, not a curated record
CAGGUGGGGAUGUACUGUAAUCGGGAUUGGAAAAGCCUGAAUUCCUCAGCGAGGGAAACGGAUGCAUUAGAAAAUCAAAUCAACAGAUCCGGAAUUGAAUGGAGUUUUGCUAUGACUUCCUCAUUCCUGAAGUGGUGGAGACGGAGGAGAAUAAGUGUGACGCUGACUUGUAGAGGCAGAACAUGGAGAAGCUGUUAUCACACAGCUAAGCACCAUGACGAUAGAGGAGCUGCUCAAGUCCCUGCAGAAGAAAUGUUGAGUGGAAUGUAAAGAGGCUCACAGACACAUUGGUGUUACGCCCUCAACGGUCUGGCAGGCAUCCACAUCAUCAGAGAUGAGUUUGUGGAGGCAGUGGAGAUGUACAAAGAAACCCUGACGUCUUCCGAGGAACACAAAGGACGACUGAAGAUCGAUUCACUGCAGG